AUGAUAAUUAGUUUAAGCCAAACAAAUGAUUUCGACUCAUUAGAUUAUGAUUUAUCUCAUAAUUAUC
RNAcentral lists this transfer RNA (67 nucleotides) under Canis aureus (golden jackal). RNAcentral describes it as "tRNA-Arg". The record is from RNAcentral. Lineage: Eukaryota; Metazoa; Chordata; Mammalia; Carnivora; Canidae.